Long non-coding RNA from Arabidopsis lyrata subsp. lyrata, 351 nucleotides. RefSeq lists it as uncharacterized. The transcript is spliced from 2 exons. The record is from RefSeq and is a predicted model, not a curated record. NCBI's taxonomy places the organism in Eukaryota, Viridiplantae, Streptophyta, Magnoliopsida, Brassicales, Brassicaceae.
UCGCUUGGGGGCAAAUGCAGCUAGAGUUUGGGUAGAUGUAGUGAAGAUAGAUGAUGCAGCAGUUUGGAGGCCAUCAGAUGAAAUCGAGUAUAUGAGAGAUUCACUUGGUUCAUCUAUUGCAUGGCCAAUGGAUAAGUUGGUCAUCUAUUGAGUAGAUGAAGAAACUGGGGGAAUGAAGAAACUUUGGUCCAGAUUAGGUAGUUUUAAUUAGUUUAAGACUAGACUAAUCAGCUUCUGUUAUGUACUUUGGAAUCAGACUUGUUAUGUCUUUUGGAUUUAGACUUGUUAUGUUGAAUGAUUCUGUAUAACUUUCUAACUUUUGAAUUGGAAUCAGACUUAUGUUACAAUUUA